GUAAUACACGAGGGGUGCCUUACGGCUGAGAAAGACCCUUUGAACCUGUUAAGUUAAGACUUGCGGAGGGACGUGUACGUGUUUGUAU
Molecule: non-coding RNA, 88 nt
Filed under: Bombilactobacillus mellifer
Lineage: Bacteria; Bacillati; Bacillota; Bacilli; Lactobacillales; Lactobacillaceae
Description: Lactobacillus mellifer TPP sequence
Rfam family: TPP riboswitch aptamer (THI element)
About the family: Vitamin B(1) in its active form thiamin pyrophosphate (TPP) is an essential coenzyme that is synthesised by coupling of pyrimidine and thiazole moieties in bacteria.
Source: Rfam by way of RNAcentral